AUCCUGGCUCAGGAUGAACGCUAGCUACAGGCUUAACACAUGCAAGUCGAGGGGAAACGAUAUUGGAAGCUUGCUUCCGAUAGGCGUCGACCGGCGCACGGGUGAGUAACGCGUAUCCAACCUGCCCAUCACUUGGGGAUAACCUUGCGAAAGUAAGACUAAUACCCAAUGAUAUCUCUAGAAGACAUCUGAAAGAGAUUAAAGAUUUAUCGGUGAUGGAUGGGGAUGCGUCUGAUUAGCUUGUUGGCGGGGUAACGGCCCACCAAGGCGACGAUCAGUAGGGGUUCUGAGAGGAAGGUCCCCCACAUUGGAACUGAGACACGGUCCAAACUCCUACGGGAGGCAGCAGUGAGGAAUAUUGGUCAAUGGACGAGAGUCUGAACCAGCCAAGUAGCGUGCAGGAUGACGGCCCUAUGGGUUGUAAACUGCUUUUAUAAGGGAAUAAAGUGGGAGUCGUGACUCUUUUUGCAUGUACCUUAUGAAUAAGGACCGGCUAAUUCCGUG
This 504-nucleotide ribosomal RNA is filed under the name uncultured bacterium. RNAcentral describes it as "bacterial SSU rRNA". It matches the Rfam family "Bacterial small subunit ribosomal RNA", at positions 16 to 507 of the family's 1533-position model. The record is from RNAcentral.